CCCCCCGCACCUUGUCUCCCGGGCAACCCCUCCCUGCCUCUCCCUGCCCCAGGGCAUUUUCCCAGCUUCCUCUCUGGCUGUCUCUCCACUGUCUCUUUAGCCAGCUCAGCACAGAGCACUUUGAGUAGUUAUUUGCCCCGUAACAAUAAGCCCCAUGGCGAGCCCCCGGGGUUCUCCCACAUCUGCCCUCGCCAGACUGGCCUCAAGGGGUCUCUGAUGACUCACAGCAGCCCCUUCCCCAGCCGGGCGGCAGCCGCCACGUCUGCUUUGGAAGAUGCCACCUGUCGAGCACUCCUUUCCGUGAACCACCCCCACCUCGAGCUGGGUGCGCAGAAGCCUCGGCCACAGCAGCUUGGGUGCCCUGGACCUUCUUGGACCCCUGGGCCGCCCUGUUCUGGCGACCUCAGCAGCAGCUGCUUCCCAACCAGGGUCGUGGAGCAGCGCUGUCCUCAAGGACUUUCUGCAGCCACGGGGAUACCUGUGCCAUCCUGGAGUGUGGCUGCCAGACACCCCGAGGAGCCCCUCGUCAGCUGCCAACGCUUUGCUUCCUAAUGUUAUCAUCGGUCACUGCCGUCCGGAGGUGAGAGCUGGACCAAUAUAUAAAUCAGGCCUUGUGAUGAUAGCCGGAACUUCUCCGCUCGAGACAUCACACAGGAGAACUUAUGAGCACUUUAUCCAGACUAUAAAACGGGAAAUCUCUAAUUUUUCUCAACUGAGGGCUUUUGAAGUCCCCAAAAGUAAAUCUCUCUGCAGGGGGCCUGGCCUGCUGCUCUGUGUCUUUUGCUUCCCCUCCCUGCAGGGCGCCAUGUCUCCUGCCUCCGAGCACCUGCCACAGCCUGUGCCUCCACCUGGGUGCAGGUAGGUGCUCUGGCCUGAAGCCCACCGGCCGGCCGUUCUCAAGUGCUCGGCCCUCACACGUGUCCUCACAGCAUCUCUAUCUUGCGGCACAUGAAGGGACGCCUGCCCCCCGUCAUCUGCUAGCCGUGGGUUUCCUCUCCGGAGCCCCUUCACCUGCCUCAUUCUGGGCGCUGCAGGGCCAUACCCCUGGGCCCCCCUGAGCCGAGGCCCCUUCCCUCCAGCUCUCACCCCAGGGUGUGGGCCAUCCCUGCCUAGUGGCUCACAGCAUGGAACUAAGAUCCCAGCCAGAGAAGGGGCCCGGCUUGCCCAGUGCCCCUUGAUGACAUGCUGGAACACCGCCCAGGGCUUCUGACCAGAGCCCAUGCUCACCCCAGAUCCCCAUGCCAGGGGACACCGGGACCAGGACAGUGACCACAGAAUGCAGUCAGUGACGGGAGCACUGCCAAGUCCUGCUAUCAGGUGAGACGGGCUGCAGGGCGGCCCCCGGGAAGGAGCCAGGCUAUAGGUGGGCCGCUUUCUGCUCUGUACACGCACACACCUCUCCCAGAGAUGAUUCCCAUCUGAACCAGGAGAAGCCCGAGCCUCCCACUCUCCCUCAUCCAAUUAGUCAGGAGCUUGUCUCCUGCGGGGAUGGUGCCUGGAGCCCUCAGACCUGGCAGGGAGGCCCCCACCCGGAGCCGGGCUGUGAGGGGAGGAGUUAGAGGAAAGCUGGGCGGCCACUUCUCCGUCAACAAACCAGCCACACGGACAGCUUUCCAUCAUGACCUCAGGUUUAUUAGUGGUAUUAGCGAGUCUUCCCAAGGUCAGCUGCAUGCAACACACAGGUCACCCUCAUCCAGUGGUCCUAGAGCUUAGUUACUGCAUGGUAAGGCUUCUUAAGUCACAGUGUAUCUUCAAGGCCUGGGCCAAAGAGAGAGACUUCCGGACAAAAUGACAUCAUGAACACUGAGCUCUGCGGGGCGGAUCUAGACUAUGCUGCACUUGACCUACACGCACUGGAACACUGCUCACGGUGACGGCACCCGGACGCGCAGGCCCCCGGGGAUAGCAGGCUCCAGGUGUCCGGGGAGGGUCUGGUUUCCGAGGGGGGAGCUCACGUGUGGAUGCGUGUGUGUAGACAGAGAUUGUAACGAGGCCGCCGGCCUGUGUGGGAGGCUGCCCGGGGGCGUCCAGGGGCCAGCGGACAGGCGGGCACGGGCGGCAGACGUGGUCACGGGUCGUCGGAAGAUCCUAACGUCUGAAGAGCAGUUUGUUGUCGAAAGUCAAAAUGGUGGUGUUGUCUCAAUAGGCGUGGAGUUUUGAGGUUGUGGAUCUCACCAUUUAUGUAACUCAGGGAUGUCUCCUUUCUCGGGAAAUACAACCACGUGUCCCCCAACUUCAGUGACCAGUCCCAUCCUGAGAGCUGGCUGCCCACACUCAGCCAUCCGGGCAGUCGGGCGCCCUCCCCGCAGGAACCCGAGCCCCAGCCGAGGGCGGGGGCACGCUGCUGCUGCCCCCUGGAGCGCGCUGUCCUCGAGGGGCUCCCUGCACAGCCGCACCCGGGGGCACCCACGUUCGCCCUCCACGGCUCCACACCACACGGACGUACAGACAAACCCUUGUCCGUCGCAAUGAGAAAAUUCAGAAUGUGGCAAAAUACUUGACUGUUCUACAAAGACUGGUUCCUGUGACUCUCCUUGGAUAAAGACCCCUUUUGGUCCAAAAAAAAAAAAAAGUGGGUGGUGAGGGCAUGCCCUUCGGAGGAGCCAGUGUCAUCAGGUGGGCUGUGGGUUCAGGGGUCGGGUCCUGGGUCCGGCUCCCACUCCUUGGGGUGCAGGCGGGCAGCCUAGAUGUACAACGGGGUCUCCUGGCCUGUGAGGAGCCUGAACAUGGCGGCAGGCAUGGUCUUCAUAUGGAUCUGCCAAUGAGAGAGAGGGGCUGACCCAGCCCUCCCUGCCUCCGCCUCCCGCCCCCGCCCCCCGCAUGCGAGGCCAGCGAUGCCCAAGUCCCCUGAGCGUGUCCUGUGUAAAGUACCAGCGUCCAGAGGGGAGGAAGAAUGACCUGUGGGCUGUCAGCUACAAAUUGGCACUUGUCUUGGGCACUUGCCAUCUACCUCUACAAGGAUUGAAGCAGGUGCCACUGCAGCUGCUGACCUUCAACACCCCCUGAAAGAAGUUCAGGGUGGAGACCAGGAGUGAGGCCCUCUGUGCUCUGGGGAAAACUGGGAGAACAGGUCUUCAGAUAGUGAGAUAUUUUCAGGAGCCCAUUUUAUGAGCCCAAUUCUUACAUCUCCUCAUAUCUAGAAAAACACCGAGAUCCUUCCUGGUGACGUCUGCUGCUCAUGACUAGCUGUAACCCUCAGGAGACUUGCAGAACCUCCUGCAAAAAAUACGUGCUCCAUUGCAUGUCCUUCCCCUUCACCAAAAUCACAUGCAUAGUGACCUUCCCCCCUGCCUCUUUGGAGCAGUUUACCAGAACUAUAUGAAAUGCUGUCUCCUGGGCUACAGUCCUCAUU
Molecule: long non-coding RNA, 3352 nt
Organism: Lagenorhynchus albirostris (white-beaked dolphin)
Lineage: Eukaryota; Metazoa; Chordata; Mammalia; Artiodactyla; Delphinidae
Exons: 3
Source: RefSeq, a predicted model, not a curated record